GAUGAACGCUGGCGGCGUGCCUAAUACAUGCAAGUCGAGCGAACAGACGAGGAGCUUGCUCCUCUGAUGUUAGCGGCGGACGGGUGAGUAACACGUGGAUAACCUACCUAUAAGACUGGGAUAACUUCGGGAAACCGGAGCUAAUACCGGAUAACAUGUUGAACCGCAUGGUUCAACAGUGAAAGACGGUCUUGCUGUCACUUAUAGAUGGAUCCGCGCCGCAUUAGCUAGUUGGUAAGGUAACGGCUUACCAAGGCAACGAUGCGUAGCCGACCUGAGAGGGUGAUCGGCAACACUGGAACUGAGACACGGUCCAGACUCCUACGGGAGGCAGCAGUAGGGAAUCUUCCGCAAUGGGCGAAAGCCUGACGGAGCAACGCCGCGUGAGUGAAGAAGGUCUUCGGAUCGUAAAACUCUGUUAUUAGGGAAGAACAAAUGUGUAAGUAACUAUGCACGUCUUGACGGUACCUAAUCAGAAAGCCACGGCUAACUACGU
This 496-nucleotide ribosomal RNA is filed under the name uncultured bacterium. Its description in RNAcentral is "partial 16S ribosomal RNA". It matches the Rfam family "Bacterial small subunit ribosomal RNA", at positions 28 to 506 of the family's 1533-position model. The record is from RNAcentral.